Long non-coding RNA from Tripterygium wilfordii, 462 nucleotides. RefSeq lists it as uncharacterized. The transcript has 3 exons. Lineage: Eukaryota; Viridiplantae; Streptophyta; Magnoliopsida; Celastrales; Celastraceae. The record is from RefSeq and is a predicted model, not a curated record.
UUCUCUCGUGGUUGCCAAGGUAAUGAAGAAAGAAAUGUGUUUUGGGAGGCUUUGAAAGUUGGGUCUACAAAGCUUAAGUUCGGUUUGCGAAAGAAAUUCAGAUUGAAGGUUGGGGAGAGAUUGUCUACGUUAAUUUGUCCUUGUACAAGGAAACUUGGAUGGUCAAAGCUAAAGUUGGAUUUCAUGUGCUACUUGGUUCGGGAAAUUGGACUUGAAGUGUAAGUCAUGCGGUCAAGAACUAGAUUUUCACGGGCGGUCGACAUUGUCUCAGGAUUUGGCUAGUAGCAUAUUUUCGGUGAGUGGAUAGAUAACUUAUCUGAUGCACUGAACCCACACACACCUAUGAUCCGUCCUUUUCUUCAGAUUUUGUAUUAGUGUCCCUAUUUGUCAAUAUCCGUAUAUAUCCGUUCGGUUACUGUUUGUUAGACUUCUUGUGUGACCCAUGAUUUUCUUACUAUUGGG